This 401-nucleotide ribosomal RNA is filed under the name uncultured Lachnospiraceae bacterium. Its description in RNAcentral is "bacterial SSU rRNA". It matches the Rfam family "Bacterial small subunit ribosomal RNA", at positions 341 to 759 of the family's 1533-position model. Lineage: Bacteria; Bacillati; Bacillota; Clostridia; Lachnospirales; Lachnospiraceae. The record is from RNAcentral.
ACGGAAGGCAGCAGUGGGGGAUAUUGCACAAUGGGGGAAACCCUGAUGCAGCGACGCCGCGUGAGUGAAGAAGUAUUUCGGUAUGUAAAGCUCUGUCAGCAGGGAAGAAAAUGACGGUACCUGACUAAGAAGCCCCGGCUAACUACGUGCCAGCAGCCGCGGUAAUACGUAGGGGGCAAGCGUUAUCCGGAUUUACUGGGUGUAAAGGGUGCGUAGGCGGCACGGCAAGUCAGAAGUGAAAUCCCAGGGCUCAACCCUGGAACUGCUUUUGAAACUGUCGAGCUAGAGUACAGGAGAGGUAAGCGGAAUUCCUAGUGUAGCGGUGAAAUGCGUAGAUAUUAGGAGGAACCCCAGUGGCGAAGGCGGCUUACUGGACUGACACUGACGCUGAGGCACGAAAG